Long non-coding RNA from Alexandromys fortis (reed vole), 4079 nucleotides. RefSeq lists it as uncharacterized. The record is from RefSeq and is a predicted model, not a curated record. Lineage: Eukaryota; Metazoa; Chordata; Mammalia; Rodentia; Cricetidae. The transcript has 2 exons.
CGCCUGCGGGUGGGACCCCACUGACUCGGGAGAGGUCGGCUCCGAGGCGUCGUUCCUAAGCCCACCAAAGGGACCCAGGGUCUCAGAGCAUGACGGCAGACCCAGUUUGCCCUCCGGGGAAGGCUGGCCCCAAAAAGAACCACCCAAAUGGUAUGAGCUUUGGGCCUCAUGAAAUGAAGAAGAUCUACCUCAGACAUUUUGGAGAAGAGAACUUGACCUUUCUGAGUUCUUCCAUUCGUGUUUCCCUAAGGGAGGAGUGACUUACCUAAGUGGUAGAUAGCUGUGGGAGCCAUGGUACAUGCAUGACCUGAUCUGUCCUUGGCUCUCUCAUCGCAUCUGCCUUCCACAGCCAUAUGCUCACUGCAUACGGCCCUAGAUGACAAGAGCCGCAGGAGAAAUAGGUUUUUUUUUUUUUUUUUUUUUGCCCACUGCUCCCCAGAUGGGCAGCUCUCCAAAGAAUCUUAAAAAUACAGUUGUAGCAUGACUGCGCGCAAAUUCCAGAGAAAGCACCGUGAAAGGAGAGCUUCUGAAGACAUGCAGAGAAAGUAGGCAAGGAAGGGAGGCUUCUGUAAGUCUUGGCCACCAGGCUGCCAGUAAUGAAGCACUGUCCUAGCUCCAGCUACACCCUGCAGUUAUCAUACCCUCUUAUUUUAGAGAUCGGCUGUGUUCCCAGGAUGAAACUUGUGUUUGCCAAGUAACUGCAUGUUGUGGAAUAUUAUUUUAAGAUGUGUGACAUUUGUUUAUGCGGUGGAACAUUUGUUUUAAUGAUGCAAUGAUGUGUUGCCUUCUUUUAUGUUGCAUUUGUUUAACUCUGCAAAGCUGUUACUUUGCCUGUCUAAAACAUCUGAUGGUCUAAAAGAGCUAAAUGGCCAAGAAAAGAAGGGACCCUGCCACACAGCCAGUCACGGACUUAGAGUGAAAGUAAGGUAUAAAGAAGAAAAGGAAAAAGCCCAGAGGCUUAAUUUAAAUUAAGAAAAGCUGGCAAGAAACAAUCCGGGCUAAGGCUGAGCAUUCCUAAGUGAGAAUUAAUUCCCUGUGUGUGAUGUGGGGAGCUGGGUGGCAGGCGUCCAAAAGAGACAAAGAGUAGAACAACCCACAACACCUGGAUGUACAGACUUGCCCCAGAGGAAAGGUGGAAAUCUCAUUUUGGCAAGAGGUCGAAGCUGUUGUGCCUGUUUCACUGUUAAUCAGCAACAAGACUGAUCUUCAAUCCUAUCUAACAUCUGUGUUAUUUCCCAGAAAAAAAAAUGAGAAGUAUGAUGGUCACAUCUAAUGAGAAAUGAAACCAAUUACAUUUGUGAAACUAGUGUAUGGAUAAAAAGGCAUAAUUGACUAUAUGUACGAGCAGGACAGUAGGUGCUAUCAAAGAUACACACCCAGUAACACAUGCCCAGUCUCAAGCUUACAAUUGAAAACAAAAUGCAUACUCAACUCCCGCGGGAGUAUUUAAUGCAUGUCCAGUUAGUGGUUUUGGUUAGAUCGGGCAUAGGAACUGGCAUUUGGAGGGAGGGUCUUUAGGGGGUGAUUUCACGAGGGCUGUCCUUCAUGCUAGGACUGAAGCCUCUGUAAAAGACACUCUUUGUGCUGCCUUUGGCCUCUCUUGCCCUUUGCCUUUGACUAGGGUCUUUUGGGUGAGGUCCUACCAGCUGAGAUGAUGUCUCCAUGACAUUUGCCUAUAGGCAAGCCUGUCCGUGUGAUGGCUGAUGGGGGAGGGUCAGCUCACUGUUGGCAAUGCCAUCCCUAGGUGGUCCUGGGAGCUAGCAGAGAGUUGUCUGAGCAAACCACGGGAAGCAAGUCAGUAAGUAGUGAUCCCCUAUGGCUUCUACAUCAGUUCCUGCCUCCAGGUUCAUCUCAUUCCUGGCCAUGAUUCUGUGACUAUUCUUGUCAAAUCCUGUUUCAUAUCUAGCCGACAACAAGGCAAAACUGAACCCCUUAGUUUCCUUCUACGUUCCAAAUCGCUAACUAAAUCAAAUGCUAAUGCUGGGAAUUUAGGAGUUGCCCUGACUCAGGUUUCCUUGAUCUCUUGCAUUUACUCCUACAGAAUAAUUGAAACAAUCUCAUAGCUUCUCAUUGCCAACACUGUAGACCAGGCUACCCUAAUUUCUGGCCUCUACCACUGUGAUAAAUUCCUACAUGGACUCAUCAAUUUCUUUCUUUCUUUCUUUCUUUCUUUCUUUCUUUCUUUCUUUCUUUCUUUCUUUCUUUCUUUCUUUCUUUCUUUCUUUCUUUUUCGAGACAGGGUUUCUCUGUGGCUUUGAAGCCUGUCCUGGAACUAGCUCUGUAGACCAGGCUGGUCUUGAACUCACAGAGAUCCGCCUGCCUCUGCCUCCCGAGUGCUGGGAUUAAAGGCGUGCGCCACCAUCGCCCGACAUCAAUUUCUUUCUUCUUCAAAAUAACCUCUAAAAUGCAACCAGACAAUGAGAUUGGGCACAUUCAAGGUAAGACGCUGUGAACUCUAAAAUGCAGUCAGAAUCACCUCUCUAUGUUUGCUUGCUUCCUUUUUUGAGACACGGCCUCACGAUGUGGCUCUGGCUGUGCUGGAACUCCUCAAGUAGACCAAGCUGGCCUUUGUUUUCCAAGUGCUGAGGUUCUCCCUAGUGGGCCCUGCUUCACCUAGUCAGAAUAAUCUGUUUAAAAUGAAAACCUGAUAAUACGCCUGACUUUCAACAGUCUCCUAACAACAUUGCUGUCAAGUCCAGAAUUUUCAGUGUGUCUGGGAAGACUCAUGCUGGAAGCUCCGUGGGCUUUUUACUGCCCCUUUUCUUUUUCCUACCCCUUACUCUUUCUCUUUCAGUCAAAAGCAAUUCAUGGAAAAACAUGGCUCCGUCCUAGCUCAGUGUUCAGAAUGAUCGCCAGGUUCCUCUAAUGCAAGGCCUGUCUUCUCCAGUGCCAGUCAUUGUGUGUGUAAUUUGUGCUCAUCCCUCAGAGUUCAUCUUAACAUGUGUCCUCGUGGAAGGCUUCCCUGACCUAUAUCUCUCUGCCAGAUUUCUUCCUCCUGUUAAUCAGUUCUCAGAUAUCCUGUACUUUUCCUUCCUAGUACCUUGCACACUCUAGUUAUUGAACAAUUACUUAAUUAUUUGUCUGAGGGUUGCAUCAUAUCUGCAACACCAAGCACAAUGCCUGGCAUAGGGAAGAUGCAUAAAUGCGUGAUUAAUGGACUGGCUCCUUCAGGGCUGAGGAAAUGAAGCUGUCUAAACAACAAGGAUUCACGGGCAAAUGCAGUCCAACUCUAACCUGGAUUCUAUACACCUGUCCUCCUCUCUCUCUCCAUCCACACUUGUUCAUUUUUUAUUUCCCAUGUCUUAUUUUCUCCAUAUUGGAGCAAUGACAUAUCAUAUCAUAUCAUAUAAGGACAUGUUAAGGACACUGUUCAACCCGUAUUGGAAAACUUUGUGUUACAAAUUUGAAAAAUUUGUGUUACCCCUUGGGAGAACUAAAGGUUAUGUGUACUUCCUUGGGUAUCUCAGAAUAUAACUGGUAAGUUUUUUUCUCUGUUCUCUAGACUCUAACAUAAACUUUUAGGGGUUUGUUUUUCGAUCUCUAAGAGAUACCCAAACACAACCAAAUAAACCACAAUGUAUGUGUUACUUGAUCAGAAUCAUGUCAAGAAAGACAAAAUCUAUCCUUAGACACUGAUGUCAAGGCACAAAGACCUCGAGGGAGCAAAUAUACAAAUUGUGAAGUAUUCUAUAGUUAACCAACGUGAUAAAAAUAGCUACCUUUUUUGUCCUUGCUAAUGCUAUGUUAGUUUGGUUUUUAAUUCUCCUCAGUCUACUGGCUAAAAUGCUAUUUGAUUACAGAUGUGGUGGGCUAUUGGAUUCUGCUCUCGUAAGUCAGUUGUGUUCAGUGGCAUCGCAGGGGCACCCUGAAUACACUGUGAUAUUUAUCGUGCAGGAAUGAGCAAACACUACACACCAGAGCUUUCCUCCUGGGACAGUCAGCUGUUAAACAUGACCAGUCCACCGCUGCUGGUAAAUCUGAGUAUUUUCUCAUGUACUUAUAAGUUUUCAUAUUUUCUUUAAAAUACUCAUUUUUGUCUUUUGUCUGUUUAUAAAAAAACGAACUUUCUGAAAACUUCA